RNAcentral lists this long non-coding RNA (336 nucleotides) under Balaenoptera musculus (blue whale). RNAcentral describes it as "lncRNA (ENSBMSG00010000465.1)". The record is from RNAcentral. Lineage: Eukaryota; Metazoa; Chordata; Mammalia; Artiodactyla; Balaenopteridae.
GGGAUCUGUCGCAUCACAGAAACUUCUGGUGUGUUCAACAAGAAAGAAAAGCAGUGAAAAGAGGAGUCCCUGGAUCCACAAAAAAAGGCCAAAAGUUCAGGGGUUCUCAGAAGUGAGAUGGUUCUCCCUCUCUGCAAGGCAUUCAACUGACCCUGAUCCAGUGUCAUUCCACGGGGAAAACUGGAACACUGGGGAGUUGGUGCUUUUCUCUUUUGCCUCUUACUUACAUUUCUGCAGUACAGUUAAGUCCCCUACAUACGAACCUUCAAGAUGUGAACUUUCAAAGAACAAACGUGCAUUCCCAUGUCCAAUCACGUAAGUUAGUUCAUGUUUCUG